GAUAGGGGAAUCCCAAGUGCGAGGGCAUAUUCGCCCUCGCUUUUGUUGACCGUAAGGUGGUCAACGAAUAAGAGCUGGGCAAGACCGGUGCCAGCCGCCGCGGUAAUACCGGCAGCUCGAGUGAUGUCCAAUAUUAUUGGGCCUAAAGCGUCCGUAGCUGGCCGCGCAAGUCCGUCGGGAAAUCCACCUGCCCAACAGGUGGGCGUCCGGCGGAAACUGUGUGGCUUGGAACCGGAAGGCUCAGAGGGUACGUCCGGGGUAGGAGUGAAAUCCCGUAAUCCCGGACGGACCACCGAUGGCGAAAGCACUCUGAGAAGACGGCUUCGACAGUGAGGGACGAAAGCUAGGGUCUCAAACCGGAUUAGAUACCCGGGUAGUCCUAGCUGUAAACGAUGCUCGUUAGGUGUGGCACCCACUACGAGUGGGUGCUGUGCCGCAGGGAAGCCGCUAAACGAGCCG
RNAcentral lists this ribosomal RNA (459 nucleotides) under uncultured archaeon. RNAcentral's name for it is "bacterial SSU rRNA". It matches the Rfam family "Archaeal small subunit ribosomal RNA", at positions 369 to 826 of the family's 1478-position model. The record is from RNAcentral.